GCCAGGAGUGGUGGUGUACACCUGUAAUCCCAGUGACUCAGGAGGCUGAGGCAGGAGGAUCACAAGUUUGAGACCAACUUAGCAAGGCCCUAAGCAACUUAAUGAGACCCUGCCUCAA
Molecule: small RNA, 118 nt
Filed under: Marmota monax (woodchuck)
Lineage: Eukaryota; Metazoa; Chordata; Mammalia; Rodentia; Sciuridae
Source: RNAcentral